UGGGGAAUUGUUCGCAAUGGGCGCAAGCCUGACGACGCAACGCCGCGUGGAGGACGAAGAUCUUCGGGUCGUAAACUCCUGUCGAGCGGGAAGAACACCCGCCUGGUGAAUAACCGGGAGGGCUGACGGUACCGCUAAAGGAAGCCCCGGCUAACUCCGUGCCAGCAGCCGCGGUAAUACGUAGGUGGCAAGCGUUGUCCGGAUUUAUUGGGUUUAAAGGGUGCGUAGGCGGUUCCAUAAGUCAGUGGUGAAAUACGGCAGCUCAACUGUCGAGGUGCCAUUGAUACUGCGGAACUUGAGUACUGAUGAGGUAGGCGGAAUUGACGGUGUAGCGGUGAAAUGCUUAGAUAUCGUCAAGAACACCGAUAGCGAAGGCAGCUUACUAAGGAGUAACUGACGCUGAGGCAUGAAAGUGCGGGGAUCAAAC
RNAcentral lists this ribosomal RNA (427 nucleotides) under uncultured bacterium. RNAcentral describes it as "bacterial SSU rRNA". It matches the Rfam family "Bacterial small subunit ribosomal RNA", at positions 355 to 773 of the family's 1533-position model. The record is from RNAcentral.